AACGAACGCUGGCGGCGUGUUUAAGACAUGCAAGUCGCACGGUGUCAUUUUGGUAGCAAUACUUGGAUGGCAUAGUGGCGCACGGGUGAGUAACACGUGAAUUACAUGCCCUGUAGAGGGGGAUAGCCCAGGGAAACUUAGAUUAAUACCCCAUGGUCUCGCAAGAGUAAAAGGUGGCCGCAAGGCUGUCGCUACAGGAUUGGUUCGCGCCCUAUCAGCUUGUUGGCGGGGUAACGGCCCACCAAGGCUACGACGGGUACCUGGUCUGAGAGGACGAUCAGGCACACUGGAACUGAGACACGGUCCAGACACCUACGGGUGGCAGCAGUCGAGAAUAACUCACAAUGGGGGCAACCCUGAUGGUGCAACGCCGCGUGGAGGAUGACGGUCUUCGGAUUGUAAACUCCUGUCAUCCGGGAGUAAGACCUGGGAGUUAAUAGCUCACAGGGUUGAUAGUACCGGAAGAGGAAGGGACGGCUAACUUCGUGCCAGCAGCCGCGGUAAAAC
This 507-nucleotide ribosomal RNA is filed under the name uncultured bacterium. Its description in RNAcentral is "bacterial SSU rRNA". It matches the Rfam family "Bacterial small subunit ribosomal RNA", at positions 29 to 526 of the family's 1533-position model. The record is from RNAcentral.